This 352-nucleotide ribosomal RNA is filed under the name uncultured cyanobacterium. RNAcentral describes it as "bacterial SSU rRNA". It matches the Rfam family "Bacterial small subunit ribosomal RNA", at positions 365 to 732 of the family's 1533-position model. Lineage: Bacteria; Bacillati; Cyanobacteriota. The record is from RNAcentral.
UCCGCAAUGGGCGAAAGCCUGACGGAGCAACGCCGCGUGUGGGAGGAAGGUUUUAGGACUGUAAACCACUUUUCUCAGGGAAGAAGAUCUGACGGUACCUGAGGAAUAAGCAUCGGCUAAUUCCGUGCCAGCAGCCGCGGUAAUACGGGAGAUGCAAGCGUUAUCCGGAAUUAUUGGGCGUAAAGCGUUCGUAGGCGGUUCAACAAGUCUGUUGUCAAAGGUCGCAGCUUAACUGCGGAAAGGCAAUGGAAACUGUGGAGCUAGAGUGUGGUAGGGGUAAGGGGAAUUCCCAGUGUAGCGGUGAAAUGCGUAGAUAUUGGGAAGAACACCAGCGGCGAAAGCGCCUUACUGG